This 1354-nucleotide long non-coding RNA is filed under the name Cyanistes caeruleus (blue tit). RNAcentral's name for it is "lncRNA (ENSCCEG00000003018.1)". Lineage: Eukaryota; Metazoa; Chordata; Aves; Passeriformes; Paridae. The record is from RNAcentral.
AGUAGUGUGUCCCUGCUGACACCACUGGAUGAGCAAUGAUUUUGUGGAAUCCAUUCCUGGGAAAUUUUUCUCUAACGUCCUCCAACAGGAAGGAACAAAGCUACUGGACACAAAAAACCCCAUGAGCCAUCCAAUACCAUGCAGCAAAUGCUGAAGGAAAUGCUGCAGGGAGCACAAGCUAAGCCCCUUGGUGAAGGUGAUCUAGCUUCCCUACUCACAUCCAGGACUGAGCCUCACGGAGAUGGCGAGGGUGUGUCUGCAGGGAGGAUUUUCCCAGACACUUUUCAGGAUGCUGCACACAAGCCUAGCUCCCAUCACAGGGGUCCUCCAACAGGAAGGAACAAAGCUACUGGAUACAAGAAACCUCGUGAACCAUCUAAUACCAUGCAGCAAAUGCUGAAGGAAAUGCAGCAGGGAGGACAAGAGAAGGACCAGAAAGCUGUGCUGAAGGCGGUGUUUCCCAGAGAAAACAGUGGCUCAUGGUCAGCGUCUGCUGCAGGAAGGGAGGCCAUGCCAGGCACAGUCUCAGAGGAUUGGGAUCGUGACAUGGAGUACAUGGAAAUGCUGGUCAGUGGUGGUUUGAAGACUUUGCCAGAUACUGGAGGUCCUCCUGCAUGGACGAACCAAGACAUAGAAGACGGGAAAUCCCUGGAGGCAUCCCGACUUCUGGACAAGAUGUUGAGUGAUCUGGAGACACACCGUGAUGAGGGUGCUGAGACAGCUUCUCCAGCAGCUGGGAUGGAAGAUGGCUUGGAACCAUUAGGAGGUUCUGCAGGUGUGUCUGCAGAGAGGACUUUCCCAGCUACUUUCCUGAUUCCUGAACGCAAGCUCGGCUCCCAUCGCAGGGAGAUGGACCAGAAGUCUUUGCAGAAGGCAGAACUUCCUGCAGAAUGCAACAGCUUCAUUCCAGAUGCCUCUACAGAAAGGGAGGAGAUAGCAGACAGUGGCACAGAAGGAAUCGAUAUUAAGGAUUCAGCGCCCAUCUCUGGAAUUGUCCGCCCGCAGGAUGUUCGGAAAACCUGCGUCGUAGACUCAGUUGUGACAGUUAUCACUGUGCAACUUGCAUUUAUAUGCUGUUUUUUUGGGAUCCGGAAAGUCUACAAGAUCAGACGGUAAUUUGUUGAUUUUUUUCCAGAGUUUUCUUAAAACUCUACACACAGCACUGGGAGCCUGACACAUAGGCAUGCUGCUGUGCACUUGUUUGUAGUCAAUGGUAGUCCACAGAAUUCUGCUGAGAGUUCUGCUGCUGCCCAGGCCUUUCAUUGGCCUCUGAAUUGCUGGGCCUUGUCCUGAGGAGCCCACUUGUACUGCAGCCAAUGCUGGCUCCCACAGGGGCUGCCUGGCCAAGAGCAGC